This 470-nucleotide ribosomal RNA is filed under the name uncultured bacterium. RNAcentral's name for it is "bacterial SSU rRNA". It matches the Rfam family "Bacterial small subunit ribosomal RNA", at positions 335 to 802 of the family's 1533-position model. The record is from RNAcentral.
ACUCCUACGGGAGGCAGCAGUGGGGAAUAUUGCACAAUGGGGGAAACCCUGAUGCAGCCAUGCCGCGUGUGUGAAGAAGGCCUUGGGUUGUAAAGCACUUUCAGUAGGGAGGAAGGUAGUGUAGUUAACACCUGCAUUAUUUGACGUUACCUACAGAAGAAGCACCGGCUAACUCCGUGCCAGCAGCCGCGGUAAUACGGAGGGUGCGAGCGUUAAUCGGAAUUACUGGGCGUAAAGCGCAUGCAGGCGGCCUGUUAAGUCAGAUGUGAAAGCCCGGGGCUUAACCUCGGAAUUGCAUUUGAAACUGGCAGGCUAGAGUCUUGUAGAGGGGUAGAAUUUCAGGUGUAGCGGUGAAAUGCGUAGAGAUCUGAAGGAAUACCAGUGGCGAAGGCGGCCCCUGGACAAAGACUGACGCUCAGAUGCGAAAGCGUGGGAGCAAACAGGAUUAGAUACCCCGUGGUAGACUGUCA